ACGUAGGAGGCGAGCGUUGUCCGGAGUUACUGGGCGUAAAGGGUGCGCAGGUGGCCGCGCGCGUGGGGAGUGAAAUCGCCCGGCUUAACUGGGCGGGGGCUUUCCAGACGGCGGGGCUUGAGCCACAGAGGGGGGCGUGGAAUUCCGGGUGGAGCGGUGAAAUGCGUAGAGAUCCGGAGGAAGACCGGUGGCGAAGGCGGUCUGCUGGGCAGUUUCUGACACUGAGGCGCGACAGCGUGGGGAGCAAACAGGA
Molecule: ribosomal RNA, 253 nt
Filed under: uncultured prokaryote
Description: partial 16S ribosomal RNA
Rfam family: Bacterial small subunit ribosomal RNA
Source: RNAcentral